CCUACGGGAGGCUGCAGUGAGGAAUAUUGGUCAAUGGCCGGAAGGCUGAACCAGCCAUGCCGCGUGAAGGUCAGUGCCCCAUGGGCGUUAAACUUCUUUUGUGCGGGAGCAAUAAUGGUCACGUGUGGCCAGACGAGAGUACUGUACGAAUAAGCAUCGGCUAACUCCGUGCCAGCAGCCGCGGUAAUACGGGGGAUGCAAGCGUUAUCCGGAUUUAUUGGGUUUAAAGGGUGCGUAGGCUGUGAGGUAAGUCAGCGGUGAAAUGCCCCCGCUCAACGGGGUGAAGUGCCAUUGAUACUGCCUGGCUGGAAUGCGGAUGCCGUGGGAGGAAUGUGUGGUGUAGCGGUGAAAUGCAUAGAUAUCACACAGAACACCGAUUGCGAAGGCAUCUCACGAAUCCGCGAUUGACGCUGAUGCACGAAAGCGUGGGUAUCAAACAGGAUUAGAUACCCGGGUAGUC
RNAcentral lists this ribosomal RNA (460 nucleotides) under uncultured bacterium. RNAcentral describes it as "partial 16S ribosomal RNA". It matches the Rfam family "Bacterial small subunit ribosomal RNA", at positions 338 to 795 of the family's 1533-position model. The record is from RNAcentral.